UUGAACGCUGGCGGCAUGCCUUACACAUGCAAGUCGAACGGCAGCACGGGGGCAACCCUGGUGGCGAGUGGCGAACGGGUGAGUAAUGUAUCGGAACGUACCCAGUCGUGGGGGAUAACUAUCCGAAAGGAUAGCUAAUACCGCAUACGUCCUGAGGGAGAAAGCGGGGGAUCGCAAGACCUCGCGCGAUUGGAGCGGCCGAUAUCGGAUUAGCUAGUUGGUGAGGUAAAGGCUCACCAAGGCGACGAUCCGUAGCGGGUCUGAGAGGACGACCAGCCACACUGGAACUGAGACACGGUCCAGACUCCUACGGGAGGCAGCAGUGGGGAAUUUUGGACAAUGGGGGAAACCCUGAUCCAGCCAUUCCGCGUGAGUGAAGAAGGCCUUCGGGUUGUAAAGCUCUUUCAGCAGGAACGAAACGGUCGGCUUUAACAAAGUCGGCUAAUGACGGUACGUGCAGAAGAAGCACCGGCUAACUACGU
RNAcentral lists this ribosomal RNA (482 nucleotides) under uncultured bacterium. Its description in RNAcentral is "bacterial SSU rRNA". It matches the Rfam family "Bacterial small subunit ribosomal RNA", at positions 29 to 506 of the family's 1533-position model. The record is from RNAcentral.